RNAcentral lists this unclassified non-coding RNA (336 nucleotides) under uncultured fungus. Its description in RNAcentral is "partial contains 5.8S ribosomal RNA and internal transcribed spacer 2". The stretch from base 1 to 133 matches the Rfam family "5.8S ribosomal RNA", at positions 22 to 154 of the family's 154-position model. Lineage: Eukaryota; Fungi. The record is from RNAcentral.
UGGUUCUGGCAUNGAUGAAGAACGCAGCGAAAUGCGAUAAGUAAUGUGAAUUGCAGAAUUCAGUGAAUCAUCGAGUCUUUGAACGCACAUUGCGCCCUCUGGUAUUCCGGAGGGCAUGCCUGUCCGAGCGUCAUUGCUGCCCUCAAGCCCGGCUUGUGUGUUGGGCCCCGUCCCCCCCGCCGGGGGGACGGGCCCGAAAGGCAGCGGCGGCACCGCGUCCGGUCCUCGAGCGUAUGGGGCUUCGUCACCCGCUCUUGUAGGCCCGGCCGGCGCCAGCCGACCCCCAACCUUUAACUAUCUCAGGUUGACCUCGGAUCAGGUAGGGAUACCCGCUGA